Molecule: ribosomal RNA, 460 nt
Filed under: uncultured bacterium
Lineage: Bacteria
Description: bacterial SSU rRNA
Rfam family: Bacterial small subunit ribosomal RNA
Source: RNAcentral
GACCCCGCACAAGCGGUGGAUCAUGUUGUUUAAUUCGAAGAUACGCGAAGAACCUUACCAGGUCUUGACAUCCCUCGCAAAGCUAUAGAGAUAUAGUGGAGGUUAUCGGGGUGACAGGUGGUGCAUGGUUGUCGUCAGCUCGUGUCGUGAGAUGUUGGGUUAAGUCCCGCAACGAGCGCAACCCUUAUUGCUAGUUACCAUCAUUAAGUUGGGGACUCUAGCGAGACUGCCAGUGACAAACUGGAGGAAGGUGGGGAUGACGUCAAAUCAUCAUGCCCCUUAUGACCUGGGCUACAAACGUGAUACAAUGGAUGAAACAAAGGGCAGCAAGCUGGUGACAGUAAGCGAAACUCAUAAAAGCAUUCUCAGUUCGGAUUGAAGUCUGCAACUCGACUUCAUGAAGCCGGAAUCGCUAGUAAUCGCGAAUCAGAAUGUCGCGGUGAAUACGUUCUCGGGGUUU